This 518-nucleotide ribosomal RNA is filed under the name uncultured bacterium. Its description in RNAcentral is "bacterial SSU rRNA". It matches the Rfam family "Bacterial small subunit ribosomal RNA", at positions 355 to 861 of the family's 1533-position model. The record is from RNAcentral.
UAGGGAAUCUUCCGCAAUGGGCGAAAGCCUGACGGAGCAACGCCGCGUGAGUGAUGAAGGUCUUCGGAUCGUAAAACUCUGUUAUUAGGGAAGAACAAAUGUGUAAGUAACUAUGCACGUCUUGACGGUACCUAAUCAGAAAGCCACGGCUAACUACGUGCCAGCAGCCGCGGUAAUACGUAGGUGGCAAGCGUUAUCCGGAAUUAUUGGGCGUAAAGCGCGCGUAGGCGGUUUUUUCAAGUCUGAUGUGAAAGCCCACGGCUCAACCGUGGAGGGUCAUUGGAAACUGGAAACUUGAGUGCAGAAGAGGAAAGUGGAAUUCCAUGUGUAGCGGUGAAAUGCGCAGAGAUAUGGAGGAACACCAGUGGCGAAGGCGACUUUCUGGUCUGUAACUGACGCUGAUGUGCGAAAGCGUGGGGAUCAAACAGGAUUAGAUACCCUGGUAGUCCACGCCGUAAACGAUGAGUGCUAAGUGUUAGGGGGGUUUUCCCGCCCCUUAGUGCUGCAGCUAACGCAUU